Molecule: long non-coding RNA, 5369 nt
Filed under: Marmota monax (woodchuck)
Lineage: Eukaryota; Metazoa; Chordata; Mammalia; Rodentia; Sciuridae
Source: RNAcentral
CGGAGCCGUCCGGGAGCCGGCCAGCGCCACCCUCCCGGGACGCAGCGCCCCCUGCCGGCCUGGAGUCCCCGCGCCGGGCCUGGAGCCGCCCCUCGCUGGGCAGGCUCCAUCCCAGAACCAGAGAACUGGGCCUGGGGCCCACACCCACACCCACACCGCAGGACCCAGUGACUUCCACGUCCCCAGCCCGGCUUGCCCACCACCUUUUCACCCCAGGACCUGGGACUCCACUGCCCCAUUCCCUUCAUCCGAGAUUCUGCAGGCCAGAGGCUCCACACCAAGGGCUGGGACUGCCCCUGACCUGGACUCAAUCUAUGCCAUCUGGGGACCCGACACCACCAGAGACACAGCCCCCUCCCUAACUGGAGCCUCAAUACCAAGGCCUGGCGGCGACCUCCUACCAGACCAGUCUCCUCGCCAGGGAACAUCCCAGGAUGCUAAGCAUUACGUGCCAAGCCUGAUCAUCCACCCCCCACCCGCCGUGGGACCCCGCAGCCCCUGCCUACCCUGCUGUUUCACACUCCUCUGGGAACCCUGGGAUUCAGCUGGGGACCUUUCCUAGUGCCAGUGGGUUUAUUAAAAGUCAUUCAUUUAAGGUUUAAAGAACUUACCAGGGCUAGAAGAGUCAAUGGUGUCAGGUGGUAUGAACACGAAUGAUCCUUCCUUCCAGGGUCCACACUUUUUUGUGGAAUCAAAGAUAAAUUGUAUCACGCAAGUCUUAAAUAACACUGCGUUUUAGUAGCAUGAGGGAUGUUCAAAUGUUGGCAAAUCUGCUCCUUGAUCACUGUUUUUAGCUCAAGAUGGAAGACAAAUAAGUAGCACAGAACCCACUUCCCUAGUUUCCCUCAAAAUACGAAAAUUAAAUAAGAGAGUGAUGAGGACAGGAUUUGGGUGUAGAUUCACUUCCCUUUUCAAACUGAUGUUGGCCACUCUGAGCCAGGGUGGCCCUGGCUCUGCUGUCUUAGCAGCCACAUCACCAGGCAAAAUUAGUCUGUGAUUCAAGCCUACCUUCCCAAACACUCCCAAGGCUAUGCCAGCCUUAUUGGAUUCUGAGCUGAGAAGGGCCAGUAUUUCAAGUCCAAAAUCCUCGUCCAAACUCAGCUUACCGAGGUCUGAAGCCAUGGCACUGUUCCUCUGUGUGGCCAUCUCUCCACACGGCCCCAAAGGGCAAAGUUGUGUACCCACAGUCCUAGGCCUGUCACCUGCCCCCCUCAAUUCCAAAGGACAAAGAGAGUCUCUUUCUCGAUAGUUCCAAAAAGAGCUUCAUGGGGGACUCUCAUUAGCCCCUUUGAAUCACAUGCUUGUCCCUCAGCCAGUCCCUACCAGUGAGGGACUAACCAUGAAAACUGACCAGACCUAGGAAUCAUGCCAGAGGAGGUCAAAGACCCAGCAGCUGGGAGAGGGAGAGGGUGUUUGCUCCAGGCCAGACCAUCACAGGAGAUGCUAGGGAUAGAACCUGGGGCCUCGCAGAUGCUAAGUGUGUGCUCUGCCACAAGCUACACCUCCUGCCCAGGGACUGUUUGUACCUGAGGGUUUUUAAUUUAUGAAGGUGAUUGGUGACACUGAAGUAAGAUUCAUUAUGUUUUCCGGGAGAAGGGGGCACCCCACACCCCGCCACACAGGGCCCCAUGAGGAGCACUGGGUUUAACUAGGAGACACACCAAGUGGAGAUCCCAGGCUAGGGCCUUCACUGGGGCUUCCAUGAGAAAAGCUUGGCAGCGCAGAGUGAACGGUGAGGGUUGGCUGGUUGAGUCAACCCCGUGGGCGCUAGGCUCUGGGGAUAUCUCUGGUUGCCUGGUGUCUGGCCCUGAGGGCAGGAAAACAUUGACUUGGUGUGAGAGUUGCACAGGAAGUAAGCAGGGCUACAGAUGGGUAACACUAUGUUUUCUUGUUGUUUGGUAGUGGUGGGAAUGGACCCUAGCCUGCCAAAAAAAUGCUGUCCCACUGAGCUUCACCCCAGCCCUGGGGCUAGAGACUUGGGAUGGUUGUUAUAUGAAAGAUAUGCUCCCUUGGCUGCGCUAAGAACCAGCUAGCCCCAGGAUGGACAAUUCCUCCCUGGCCAGCAAAAUUGUUAACGUGUCAAAAUAUCCUAGGAUACAGAAAAUGAAAAAUAUUAUUAUGGUCAGGGGCUGUGCGGGGACUGUGUGCUGCAGCGCCAGCUCCAGCAGGGGGAGGGACCCACUGACUCCGCAGGGGUGCUAUUGGCCAGCCUCCCAGCAUUCCAGGGAAGUCCAAACCCGGCCACUGCAGGGCCAUUGCUCUCUGUUUGCAAACACUUAGCUAUUCAGACAACAAGAAUUCAUGAGACUUGGAUGGAUGACAGCCAGGGUGGGCUGGUGGCCCCAGGACUCAUCUCAGCUUCACUUGCUGGGGAUCCUUUUUCAUGCACCUGCAGGAUCUCCCAGACUACCCCCCCCCCGCCCCCUCCCUGGACAGAGUAUUGGUAUUGGUUCAUUACACUGACAUCAUCACAGAUCAGAGAGCAAGUGGGAUCCAUUAGGAACACUGACACUUCCUCAGGGCUGCCUGGGGCUGACAGGGCUCAGACACUGUUUCAACCCUCACAAUAAAUUCAGAAAGUAGGUCCGGAUCUAGGAGUGUCUCUCUGGUCAGUGCUAUAGAUAUCACCUUAAUAAUGUUGAGGAAAAGGCGAAUUUGUUGAAGCACACAGGGGUGCCUCUUGGGUAGAAUGGAAGGGCAGGAAACACAAACUUCACCAGGAGCUGGGGGUCACUCAUCUACAAAACCUGACCUCUUCUUCUCCCCUCUCAGACAACAGAGCAGAACCACUAACUAUGCUCAAUCCCAAACUGAUCUUCCAGGAGAGAUGAUCUGAUUGGCUCAGCUUCAGUCAGUGGUGACCUCAGGUCCAGCUGGGUGUGAGCAGGUGGGUGGGGUUUCAGCUGCUAGGUUACAGUUCUGAACCGGGGAGGGCGUAGACUAGGUGGGCACCUCUGUUCUCUACAGCUAAUAUUAGCCCCACUUGGCUGAGUGGGUCACAAAGAUAUAUCUAGAUCUGGAAUCAUGCAGAUGAACCUGCUCUAGGAUCGUGUUUUAAGCACAUUGCUACAAAUUCUCGAACCUAAAAUCUAAAUGUACCCCACAGUGUUUUACCUGUAUAUUUGAUCUUGCCUUCUGUUUAAUUCAGUUUCAUAGAUUGUAUGACUUUAUGCAAAAAACAAAGAUGAACAAGCCCUGUGUCCUGGUCUCCAGGAGCUUCAAGGAAACUCAAGGAUAGAAAUCUCAAGUCCCAGAGAGCAAGUGGAUGGGGGAGGGGACACCCACUAUGCUGUCUGGGGUGCAGAUAUUCAUUUCAGGUUGGAGCAUCAGGAAAGGCUAAAUAGAGAAGACAGCUGUUUUAGCAACUUUAAAUGGGGUUCACAAUUUCAUGUUUUCAUUGAGUUUUUCUUUAAUUUUUUUGUAGUUGUAGAUGGACAGCAUACCUUUAUUUUAUUUGUUUAUUUUUAUGUGGUUCCGAGGAUCCAGUGCCUCACAUGUGCUAGGCAAGCACUCUGCCGCUGAGCCCCAGCCCCAGCCCCAGCCGUGCACUGAGUUUUACUUGUUAUUCAUUACGGAGAGCUAGAAGUCCCCCAUCUCUCCAAGCCCCAGGCAUGCAAACAGCUCUGUCCUGAUCUAGUGCCAGCAUUUAGGAAAUUGGAAAGAUGUCCACAGAUGUUCUCAAAAAGGCCGAGACAGAUGUCUGGGUCACCCUUCCACCAACUAAAUGUGGGACCCUCCAGACCAGUCCUAGCAGAGUAGCAGCAGACUGGCUCUGGGGUAACUUGGCUUUUUCUUCCAUCUGUAGGGAUGUGGGCCAGUUAAUACAGCUAAUAGAUCUCUCUCUCUCUCUCUCUCUCUCUCUCUCUCUCUGUGUGUGUGUGUGUUUCAAAAGUUGGUAUGAAACAGACAUUUUCAAUAAUGACUCAUAAGGUAACCACAGCCUUUUUUUGGGGGGGAGUACUGGGGUGGAACCUGGAGCCUCGUGCAUGGUCAGCAGGUGUUCCCACACUGAGCUGCACCCCAGCCCAGGCAACUGCACCCUUGAAGAUCAGGUUUACAUGGGGUUUCUGGAGUCCCAAAAGGAAAUUGAGGGACCAAUGAUAUUUAUAAUAGUGCUGAAGAGAAUAAAAUACUUAUGAAUAAAACUAAUCAAAGAGGUAAAUGACUUGUACACUGAAAACUGCAAAAUACUUCUGAAGGAAAUGAAAGGAGACACAAAUUAAGGGAAAGAUAUUCAUGUUCAUCUUUUGGAAGACUUAAUUUUGAUAAGAUGUAAAGGUGAUGUCAAUGUCAAAAUGAUCUACAUAUCUAAAGUACUUUCUUUCAAAAUCCAAUGAUGUUUUUUCAGAGCUAGAAAAACUCACUCUAAAAUCCACAUGGAGUCUCACAGGAUGCUGUUUUAGUCUGCCUCAUGUUGCAGUAACUUAUACAGAAUGGGUACUUCAUAAGUAAAAGAGCUUUAUUUCUUUUCAUUGAUGUAUCUUGGUGCUGGGAAUCGCGCCCAGGACCUUGUACAUGCUAGGCAAGCACUCCAUGGAUGUUGAGAGCCACAGCUGAAGGGGCCCCGGCAAACUUCCAGCUGCCAGCUGAUUGACUCCUCUGCAGUGAUGCUCAUUGGGCUGUUUCCCUGCCUUUUCAGACCACAGAGCUGCUCAUUGGGGGACUUUUUUUGGCUCCGCCCAUGCAGCCCAGCCAAUCGGCCUCAAGAGCAGGAGGAGUGGGGGGCUUGAGAGGCUUGUGGGAAGCCAGUGGUGGCAGUUGGGCUCUGAGGGAAUUCCUGAAGAGCUGUGUGGUGCAGCGUGUGUGUGUGUGUGUGUGUGUGUGUGUGUGUUCUAAAAAUAAAGUUAGUUUCUGCUUGAUAAGUGGCUCCUGAAUUGUGCCCAGCCAGACUGUGGCAUUUGGUGGCCCGCACGGGGAAUGACUGAGGGUAAGUGAUAAGGUAAACUGCUCGCCCCUGAGGGCAGGGUGAGAGGAUGGGUAGCCAUUUUAAGAUUCUUCUUUCAUUUUGUUUCGCUUUUGUUUUAAGUUGCCUGUCCCUGGAGAUGAGUGAGAUGGAAGAAAAACCGCUCACAUCUGAGGAACAGAUAGGGAGAAAGGACGGAUGGACAUUUCAGGAGGAUAGUAAGGCUAUUGUAAUGAUUUUGUGUUGUUCCAUUUUUGUUUCAUUCUGUCUUGGCUUUGUUUGGCGUCAUCUUGUUGGGUUGUAUUAUAGUAGAAAUACGGGAUCAGAAAUUAGUAAAAUACAAACCGAAAGACUGUUAAGUAAAUUGUUAGAGGAAGGAGGCAUCCCAGUAAAAUCAAGAGCAGUCGGGGCAUACGUCAAUACAAUACAAAAAUGUAGCCCAUGGCUUUUUAAGGAGGAGUUGUUA